This 426-nucleotide ribosomal RNA is filed under the name uncultured fungus. RNAcentral describes it as "eukaryotic LSU rRNA". It matches the Rfam family "Eukaryotic large subunit ribosomal RNA", at positions 1 to 422 of the family's 3401-position model. The record is from RNAcentral. Lineage: Eukaryota; Fungi.
AGACUCAGAUGAAGUGGGAAGACCCCCUGAAUUUAAGCAUAUUAUUAAGGGGAGGAAAAGAAACUAACAAGGAUUCCCCUAGUAACGGCGAGUGAAGCGGGAAGAGCUCAAAUUUAAAAUCCGCUGGUCUAACAGCCUGUGGAGUUGUAAUCUAGAGAGGCUCUCUCAGUGCCAGCCUGGUUAUAAGUCCCUUGAAACGGGGCAUCAAAGAGGGUGAGAAUCCCGUAUUUGAGCCGGAGCUAAGUACGUACGAGGAGCUUUCCAAGAGUCGCGUUGCUUGGGAGUGCAGCGCUAAAUGGGUGGUAAAGUUCAUCUAAAGCUAAAUACUGGCGAGAGACCGAUAGCGAACAAGUACCGUGAGGGAAAGAUGAAAAGAACUUUGAAAAGAGAGUUAAAAAGUACUUGAAAUUGUCAACAGGGAAGGGG